GUACAUUGUGACUCGCUUUAAAUAAUGUGUAAAUUGUAAUAACUGUUUGUAUUAUCUAUAAACUCGCUUUAAAGAUGGAUAGAUGCCUCAUGCCAACAAAUUUCACGUAGUAACAACUUUACAAAUCUGUGACAAAUUUCAAGAUUUAUUAAUAGAGUACAAAUAGGUAGACGAGUUAGAAAUCUUGUGUUAUUGAUUGGGCUUGGAAAAUCUAAUUAUUCAACAAUGGCUAUUCUACAUAGGGCCCUUUUUACUUGGUUUAUAUUUUUGAUUUUUCUUAUUUUGCUAUGUCUGAGAUUAGAGUCUAGAACACAUUGGAAUUGGUUCAUCGUUUUUAUUCCAAUGUGGGUGUACGAUAGUAUUUUAUUGAUCUACGUACUUUUUCAUAUGGUAUCACACUGCAGAAAUGGCAUUGAAAGAUUUAGAGGAACCAUUAAUAAAAAUGUGUGGUACAUAGCCGCAAUUGGACUGAAAAUGGCUGCACAAAUAAUAAUUUGUAUAAAAUUGGAAUAUAAUAGAGUUUAUUUACCUAUUUAUGUGGUAAUGACCCCUAUAUGGAUGCUACUGCCAGUUCUCUGUAUUGAAGUGUUCAUGCAUUUGAUCAAACACUCCAGUGGAAGUAGUAGGUAUUAAAAUGGUUCGAAGCAUACUUAAUAGGAAGCAAUAAAUACUGUGCAUUGAGGGGAAGGACAUGUGACUUCAUGACUGUGUAAAGAUAAUUAUAAACUUGGCACGCAUUCAGUAAUACCGAUGUUUGCUCUUCUCAAAUGUUUUGUGGCAGCAUCAGAAGUUUUGGUGAUAUAAUAAUCUUACUCAAGUGGUGAAAAACUCUAUUACGUAUGUUGGAAGAAGACUCAUUCGUCUAGAAAAUAAAUAAAACUAGAAACAAUGAAGAUGACAAUAGCUGAAGAAAGUUACUCAAGCAGAUUCUGGAACCUAUAUGUGCAUAUCAAAGAGUCUUGAUGGUUUACAAUAUGCAGUAAGUGAAGUGGAAAUACUAGUCUCUAGUGCAUUUACCCC
This is an unclassified non-coding RNA of Bombyx mandarina (wild silkworm), 1020 nucleotides long. Lineage: Eukaryota; Metazoa; Arthropoda; Insecta; Lepidoptera; Bombycidae. The record is from RefSeq and is a predicted model, not a curated record.